UAAGGAAUAUUGGACAAUGGGCGCAAGCCUGAUCCAGCCAUGCCGCGUGAAGGAUGAAGGCCCUAUGGGUUGUAAACUUCUUUUGGUAGGGAAAAAACCCCUCGAUGCGUCGGGGGCUGAUGGUACCUACAGAAUAAGGAUCGGCUAACUCCGUGCCAGCAGCCGCGGUAAUACGGAGGAUCCAAGCGUUAUCCGGAUUUAUUGGGUUUAAAGGGUGCGUAGGCGGAUGAAUAAGUCAGUGGUGAAAGCCUGCAGCUUAACUGCAGAACUGCCAUUGAUACUGUUUAUCUUGAAUAUAGUUGAGGUGGGCGGAAUAUGACAUGUAGUGGUGAAAUACUUAGAUAUGUCAUAGAACACCGAUUGCGAAGGCAGCUCACUAAGCUAUGAUUGACGCUGAGGC
This 400-nucleotide ribosomal RNA is filed under the name uncultured bacterium. Its description in RNAcentral is "bacterial SSU rRNA". It matches the Rfam family "Bacterial small subunit ribosomal RNA", at positions 355 to 752 of the family's 1533-position model. The record is from RNAcentral.